AUGAUACUCCCUCCGUCCAGAAAUACUUGUCCAAGAAAUGGAUAAAAUGCAUGUAUCUAGAACAAAAAUACGUUUAGAUACAUCCAUUCUACUAACAAGUAUUUCGGGACAGAGGGAGUAUGAA
Non-coding RNA from Triticum aestivum (bread wheat), 124 nucleotides. The record is from Rfam. NCBI's taxonomy places the organism in Eukaryota, Viridiplantae, Streptophyta, Magnoliopsida, Poales, Poaceae.